CCCCUAUUGCACCCCCCUUGUUGCAGCGUACAUGUAUUAAUACGCUUCAACAACCAAUCGGUCAACGCGGGUCAAACCAUUUAAAGGGUUGUUGCAGCGUACAAUUUAAUUGUUCCCUGCAAAAAAGUUUAUUGCAGCGUACAUUUUAAAAGCCCCCUGCUAUAACUUUUUGUUGCAGCGUACAAUUUAAAAGCCCCCUGCAAUAGCCGGGUAAAAAAUUGCUCCCUAAGUGAUUCAGAAUACAAAUUUUCAUUUCUCGCGCUCAACUCCCUCUUCUUCCCUUACCUUUCCCUGCGUCGUCCCCUAAAAAAAACCUAAGACGCAUCUCAAAAUUUCAGUUCUCGUUGUUCGCGUCCCGUUCUCCUCUCCUCACUUCGAACACUCUUUCUCUUCGUUCCUCUGCAUCGCCGGCCACCACCUCCUUCAUGUCGCCGCUGCUGGUGUGGUGGUUGUGAUGGUUAUUGCGUUGUUGUGGUUGAUGGUGUUGUCCCGCCUCCGUGCUCGCCUUUCCUCUGUUUGUCGCCGCCAAUAAUGGUGGCCACCAACACAACAUCAUUUGCAAUCCAUCACUAAUUGGUAAGUUGAUUUCAAUUUCUCCUUCAAUUGAUUUAAUAAGUUCGUGAUUUAAAAUCCCAAAACCCUAACUAAUCGAUUUCAAUUUUCUUUUCCCCAUUGCUUGCGCCGCCCCUUCUGGUUGUUGGGUGCGACGGCGCUCUGUCGUCGCCGCCGCCUCCUUGUUCGUUGUUGUGAAUGCUAAUUAUGGUCUUGCUCUCCCCUUCCCUCUCCUCCAUUGUUGCUGCUCGUUUCUAGCCCAAGUUUCAUUGUCUCCUUCCCAAACAAUCCUCCUGAUCCAAAAAAGGAUAGUGCCGCAGUUCAGAAAUUCUUUGCCAAUAUGGAAGUCGCAUUCAGGGCGCAUCCACUUUGGAGCUGUUGUUCAGAAGAGGAGCUUAAAAGUGCUGGUGAAUUGCAGGGAGUGGAGACGGUUUUCACUGUAAUUCGGGCUUGUUGCGGGGCCGGAAUUAUUGGGUUUACCUUAUGGUAAUUUUCUUGAUGCUAGGUCUUCAAAGAAACCUGCAUUUUAGCAUCGUCUUUCUAGAGAACGGCAAAUUCAUUGGCAAUCGUCGUCGACUUCUCCGGUGAGGAUCACGUGCCACUGAUUACAGUUGAUGCUGCUCUUCUGCUACACUUUCUCAUAUUCUUUUUAGCAGUCUGUCUUGUGCUAUACAGUGCAGUAACAAUGAUGCUUGGAAAGCUGAAGUUUUCUUUACUCAGCCCUGUUGCUGACUGAUCUGCUCCUACUGACUGAUCUUCUGCUACACUGCUGCUGCACUAGUGCAAUGUUGCUGCUGAUUGAUCUGUUGUUACGCUGUUGCUGCUGCACUAGUGCAAUGUUGCUGCUGCUGGAUUAUUGUUGUUGCUGCUGCUUGAUUUAUGUUGUUGAUGUAGCUUGAUUAUUGUUGUUGCUGAUGCUUGAUUAUUGUUGUUGCUGCUGCUUGAUUAUUGUUUUUUUUGUUUCUGGUUGCUGCACUUGUGUGAAUGUUCUAACCGCCACAUUUUGUAUGUUUUACUUGAUUCAGGAACUCCCUAGGUACCAUGAAUAAUAACCAAAAUUUGUUGGGCAUGAAUCAGAAUGUGGCAGUGAUCGAGUUAUUACUCCCGCAACAGGUCACAAAUCAUAAGGUCUACACUCCGAGGAUUGCGCCUUAUGCGAGGAAUUUGAUGUGGUUUGUGAGCAAUGGGCUAAGUUUUUUACCAACAAGUAUUUAUUAUUGGCUUUAGCGCGCUUGAUCGAGUUGGUUUAGUUGUUAUAGAAUAAAUUUUAUAUUAAAAUGUAUGUUUAUGUUGAAAUUGGAACAUAUAUUUAAAUGUAAUAUGUGCACUUUGGUUUUGGGAUAUAUAGUAUACAAAACUCCAGUUGUUGUUUUUA
Long non-coding RNA from Spinacia oleracea (spinach), 1927 nucleotides. RefSeq lists it as uncharacterized. NCBI's taxonomy places the organism in Eukaryota, Viridiplantae, Streptophyta, Magnoliopsida, Caryophyllales, Amaranthaceae. The transcript is spliced from 6 exons. The record is from RefSeq and is a predicted model, not a curated record.